RNAcentral lists this ribosomal RNA (492 nucleotides) under Candidatus Omnitrophota bacterium. RNAcentral describes it as "partial 23S ribosomal RNA". It matches the Rfam family "Bacterial large subunit ribosomal RNA", at positions 1 to 461 of the family's 2925-position model. The record is from RNAcentral. Lineage: Bacteria; Pseudomonadati; Candidatus Omnitrophota.
GGCCAAGCUAAUAAGGGUGUACGAUGGAUGCCCUGGCGAAGACUGGCGAUGAAGGGCGUGGCAAGCUGCGAUAAGCCCCGGUGAGGUGCAAGCAACCUGUGAUCCGGGGAUUCCCGAAUGGGGCAACCCAUCCACCGCGAGGUGGAUAUCCUGUCGCAAGGCAGGAGGCGAACCGAGGGAAGUGAACCAUCUCAGUACCUCGAGGAAAAGAAAAAAAUUUGAUUCCCUGAGUAGCGGCGAGCGAAAGGGGAACAGCCCAAACCGAAUGAUGUUAUAGCAUAGCCGCGUUCAUCAUUCGGGGUUGCAGGACCUGGCAUGGAAGUGGCUAUACUUCCAGCAUGACACAACCUUUUGGGUUAGCCGAAUGAUCUGGAAAGAUCAGCCAUAGAAGGUGAAAGCCCUGUAAGCGAAAACUCAAAAGGCAUGCGUCAGGCACCUGAGUACCACGGAGGAACCGAGGAGCUCUGUGGGAAUCCGCCACGACCACGUGGC